This is a long non-coding RNA of Vidua chalybeata, 670 nucleotides long. RefSeq lists it as uncharacterized. The transcript is spliced from 4 exons. Lineage: Eukaryota; Metazoa; Chordata; Aves; Passeriformes; Viduidae. The record is from RefSeq and is a predicted model, not a curated record.
CUUCUGUGUCAUGGUGUCUCAUCUCUCUGCUGCUAGGAAGGAAGUACCACGAAUGAUUGAUGUGGAGAAGUGUCCUACAGGUGUUAAUAACAACACCAAAGAUGGUGUGAUUCCUGAUUCAACCUGGAAAAUUGACUGUACUGCCUGUUUAGCUGCGCACAGUGAAAGGAGAAUUCUCCAAAAGUACCAGUUUUUCCUUCUGAGUCAGCCCAAGUGCCUGUGUUAAUGGCCUCUGGAGAGAAACACCUCAACACAUCCACAGAAUGAAGGCUCCAGCUGCAAAACUCUCUUCCCUCAGGGACUCCACAGGAAUCUGUGCUCUUCCUCCUGAAGGGAUUAACCCCUGUUCCUCACUGACCAGAGAUACCAGUCUGAAGUCCAUGUGUCUUCAUCCUACAAAUAUGGUUACUGGAGCCCACUGACACAGGCCUAGGGGAGGGACUGAGAAAGAGGUACACAGGUAUCUUUGUGCUGAUCUGUACUUCACACAGAGCACUCUUGUGUUUGACAUAUGUCUUAGGUGUGUAUGGAGUUAUAUCAGUGAAAACCUAUGGUUCAUUACCAAUCUGCUUUGGUCCUGGAGGAGGGGAGGUGGAAACAGGAGGGGGGAAAAAUACCCAGAUGGGAAAUGAACCUGUGCAUCUCUCCUGGGAAAAUGCAUUUCAGUCAU